GUGGCGCCCGCCUCGGCCGCUCAGUGGCCGCGCCGAGCACAAAGCGCUGUCUCCGAGCAGAAAGCCUCUUCUGGGUGGAAGCAGACCUGCUGAGGAGGAGAAUCUGCGCGUGACGUCAGUCGCUGAGGACUGACGCAGGCUGGAGAAGGAGACUCAAGGCGGCUGCUCCGCUCUGGCUUCAUGAGUCUAUUUUCUCCAGCGCCCUCGUAGUGAAUUACUAGAACGCAAAACACACACACACACACACACACACACACACACACACAGACACACACAUGCAGCUUUCAAAAUAUACGUUUCCAAAGGCGGUGUGUUGCAAACACCACGCGAUCUGGCAAGGCGCGGGUGGGAAACGUGGGAAGGGUACGGAUGAUUCCGCCCUCCUUUGGGAAUCUCCAUCGUGGUUAACAGGAGGCUCCGGAGCUUUCCUGGGAGGCUCCUGGGGGAAGGAGCUAAGCAACCCCCUUUUCCCACCACGUAGGGAGUCUGGUCAAUGGAGACAGCGCCUCUAAGAAUACAACCGCUCCAACGCCUUCUGCUCUGCUGGGGGAGGCUUCGAGCUUGCAACAGGCAGAGACAGGCGGGAGUUAACGGGAGGGAGGGAGGGAGGGAGGGAGAAUAUCAGAAAUAUUUGGAUAUUUUUCUGCUUUGAAAAAGACUCUCUGCAGUAAUGCAAGUGAGUCUGGAGGUGCAGGAAAAAGUGGGGAAGGGGCAAUUCAUGCACAUUGAAUGUUUUGGACGCAACGUUCCAGCGAAAUGCCUUUGUGUGUGGAGGUUUUUUCAGUACUUGCUAAAAAUAGCACCAGGGUUUGAUCGUGUUCCAGAAAUAGACCGAGGGCUGUACUGGGAUAAAAAGCCAGCGCGGGUGGAAGAAAACCUGGACAUCACCGCAUUCCUCACCCCCCCAACUAUGUCUGGAAAUUAAUUGUUGGAUUUUUCCUUUCCUCUCUCCUCUCUUCGUCCACUUUCUGUUCCCUCCCCCUAUGUUUCUCUUUCUCUUAAGGAGUUCCCGUCUAGGUGGUCAACUUGUCCUGUACCCAGAGGUCGCGGAAGGGGUGGCCAUCCCCAGAGGUCACAGAAGCUGAAGAGCCUGGACCAAUGAGCUCAGCAGUCCCAGGAACAUGGUUUCUUGAAAUGGAAAGAGUUGGGGGAGAAUUUGGCAGCAUUGAUGGUUCCAGCAAAUGAGGACUCCAUUUGCAGCUGGUGUUAAUCCAGUCACAAUGGCAUUGGGUUCCUGAAUGAGGACUAGUGUGGAAGUCUACAUCCCUGGUGCGUCUGUUUCAUGGAGAAAAAGAAGCCAAGAGCACAGAGGAUGAGCAGCUAUAAGAUUUUUAUGGCUCUGUACCCACUUGUGUAUUGUUCGGUAUAAAAGUAUUCACUUACCAUGUCUGUAAGGAUUUUAGAAAGAGGCUUGUACUUUGUCAUUUUAAAUAUAAAAACAUUGCAGUUAUUUCUUACCAUAUUAUUGCAUGGGCUAUUGUAAGGUUUGGGCAUAUUGAAAGCUUUCCAUAUUGUACCCCUCAACCUUACCUAAGGACAGAGACCUCCUCCGUUGCUGGAUAAAAGGUUUUGGGAAAGUGGGUAGACCUGAAAAAUAAAUGCCCAUCUUCAUUUAAGUCUUUCUCUUUUCUCUUUGGCUUUUGGUUCUACCUCCUUCCACUGCUCUUACUGCAGCCUCUGUUGUAUUGGGUGAUGGAAUCGAAUUAGAAGAAAUUGAAGCACCAUAUGGUUGUGUGCUUAUCUUCAGUCCCCCUCUCUCCCCAGCAUGUGACAAAGCAAUAACAGGGGCAGAACAAGCUUCUGGUGUGGAGAGAGACAUAGUGGGUCAUACUGCUUGUGCCCCCAGAAUUGAUUGAGUUUGUGAGGAACCAACUCUUCUACUUUUUAACAGAAACCUCUGGUUUGCACUUGCAAAAUUAUUUGUAUCAUAAAGGUCAAAUCCUUUGGAAAAAAUGGCUUAGAUAAUCAAAGCUCACCAAGAGUGACAUAAAGGAAUUUUUUUUCGUGUCUGUGCAUAUGAAUUUUAUAGAGUCUAAAGCAUCAAGAAUUGAUGUUCUGAGCAAGAAAUUGUCACUGACAUGAGGGGUUGUAUCUGUGAUUCACAUUCUUUCUUGUGGUUCUAUUUGUCCAUCCACAUGAGAACUCCAAAUGUGAUGGUACCUGGUGAACAAGAAAUUCCUAGGGUCUGGUGAAUGAAAGUCCACAAAUCAUUUACUGCAGAGGGACUAGUGCUUAAGUUUGGAGGAUGGACAGAUAAUCUUAGCCAAAUCUUGAUUAUAUAUCAAAACACAGAAACAAAACCAGAAAACGGCCGUAAGUGUUGGGAAGAAGAAUGUUAGGAAAAUCUUGUUGGUCUGUUGGGGGGAAAAAUAAGCGGGGUAUGGUGAACUCACACAGAAGGAAGAAUUAGAAAACAGGUGUACAAACAGGAACUUAGGGAGAAAAAAAAGCAUAAUACUCAUUUUCCCCUUACAGGGUUUGAUAUAGUUAAUCCUCACAGGAAACUGAGGGAACAUGUAACGUAUCUACAAGUUUCCCAAACAGCUAAUAUUUCCUUGGAAGCAGGAAAAUGUUGUUUCAUCUUCUGAAGAAACUUCAACAUUCUUUUUUUCCCCCUUUGGAGAUUUCUUAAAAUUGAAUUUUCUCCUUUAGUCAAAAUGUCCUCAACCUGGUGAAUCUUCCAUGUACGCAUACUUGAAAAUUUGAAAGAGAGAAAAGGAUUGAAUAUCUGAAUUUAAAGUCAAGUUAAAGCUCAAUGUUUGGAACUGUGUUUAAUUGAAGAUGAGACAGAAGACAUCAGAACUGUUUGAAAUUUUCAAGUUUUACUAUACAAUAAAAUGAAGGAUUCAGCUCUUGUCUCAAAGGAUUAACCAAGAUGGUAUUCUUAAAAAUUCCUGGCUUCUAUGAAAUUCUCCAAUUACAGAAUUUUCUUUCAUUACUCUUGAAUUCAUCAUGAAAACCUGCUUUGAAACACAAUUUGCUGAAAUACUGAAAAUGAAUUUCAAAUUAAAUAGGAAUAGUUGUAUACUAAUAUGAUGCAAUGACAUUUCACAUUUUUCCAUGUUAAAAACUGUUCUGAACUCUAAAUCUUUUA
This is a long non-coding RNA of Heterocephalus glaber (naked mole-rat), 3094 nucleotides long. RefSeq lists it as uncharacterized. The record is from RefSeq and is a predicted model, not a curated record. NCBI's taxonomy places the organism in Eukaryota, Metazoa, Chordata, Mammalia, Rodentia, Bathyergidae.